AGUCCUGUAGCUCAGUGGUUAGAGCCCUCGCCUUGUAAGCGAGAGGACUGGGUUCGAUUCCCAACCAGGACGA
Molecule: non-coding RNA, 73 nt
Organism: Callorhinchus milii (elephant shark)
Lineage: Eukaryota; Metazoa; Chordata; Chondrichthyes; Chimaeriformes; Callorhinchidae
Source: the annotation of a RefSeq genome assembly